CCUAGGGGGCUGCAGUGGGGAAUAUUGGACAAUGGGCGAAAGCCUGAUCCAGCCAUGCCGCGUGUGUGAAGAAGGCCUUCGGGUUGUAAAGCACUUUCAGUGGGGAAGAAAGCCUUGGGGCUAAUACCCUCGAGGAAGGACAUCACCCACAGAAGAAGCACCGGCUAACUCCGUGCCAGCAGCCGCGGUAAUACGGAGGGUGCGAGCGUUAAUCGGAAUUACUGGGCGUAAAGCGCGCGUAGGCGGUCUGAUAAGCCGGUUGUGAAAGCCCCGGGCUCAACCUGGGAACGGCAUCCGGAACUGUCAGGCUAGAGUGCAGGAGAGGAAGGUAGAAUUCCCGGUGUAGCGGUGAAAUGCGUAGAGAUCGGGAGGAAUACCAGUGGCGAAGGCGGUCUUCUGGACUGACACUGACGCUGAGGUGCGAAAGCGUGGGUAGCAAACAGGAUUAGAUACCCGGGUAGUC
RNAcentral lists this ribosomal RNA (463 nucleotides) under Vreelandella stevensii. Its description in RNAcentral is "partial 16S ribosomal RNA". It matches the Rfam family "Bacterial small subunit ribosomal RNA", at positions 338 to 795 of the family's 1533-position model. Lineage: Bacteria; Pseudomonadati; Pseudomonadota; Gammaproteobacteria; Oceanospirillales; Halomonadaceae. The record is from RNAcentral.